Molecule: ribosomal RNA, 253 nt
Filed under: uncultured bacterium
Lineage: Bacteria
Description: partial 16S ribosomal RNA
Rfam family: Archaeal small subunit ribosomal RNA
Source: RNAcentral
UACCAGCACCCCGAGUGGUCGGGACGAUUAUUGGGCCUAAAGCAUCCGUAGCCGGUUCUACAAGUCUUCCGUUAAAUCCACCUGCUUAACAGAUGGGCUGCGGAGGAUACUAUAGAGCUAGGAGGCGGGAGAAGCAAGCGGUACUUAGUGGGUAGGGGUAAAAUCCGUUGAUCCAUUGAAGACCACCAGUGGCGAAGGCGGCUUGCCAGAAUGCGCUCGACGGUGAGGGAUGAAAGCUGGGGGAGCAAACCGG